CCUACGGGGGGCAGCAGUGAGGAAUAUUGGUCAAUGGACGGAAGUCUGAACCAGCCAUGCCGCGUGCAGGAAGACGGCUCUAUGAGUUGUAAACUGCUUUUGUACAAGGGUAAACCUGAAUACGUGUAUUCAGCUGAAAGUACUGUACGAAUAAGGAUCGGCUAACUCCGUGCCAGCAGCCGCGGUAAUACGGAGGAUCCAAGCGUUAUCCGGAUUUAUUGGGUUUAAAGGGUGCGUAGGCGGAUUGAUAAGUUAGAGGUGAAAUGUCCGAGCUUAACUCGGGAACUGCCUCUAAUACUGUUGAUCUAGAGAGUAGAUGCGGUAGGCGGAAUGUAUGGUGUAGCGGGGAAAUGCUUAGAGAUCAUACAGAACACCGAUUGCGAAGGCAGCUUACCAAUCUAUAUCUGACGUUGAGGCACGAAAGCGUGGGGAGCAAACAGGAUUAGAUACCCCAGUAGC
This 459-nucleotide ribosomal RNA is filed under the name uncultured bacterium. RNAcentral's name for it is "partial 16S ribosomal RNA". It matches the Rfam family "Bacterial small subunit ribosomal RNA", at positions 338 to 794 of the family's 1533-position model. The record is from RNAcentral.